RNAcentral lists this ribosomal RNA (408 nucleotides) under Hemiselmis rufescens. RNAcentral's name for it is "partial Bacterial large subunit ribosomal RNA". It matches the Rfam family "Bacterial large subunit ribosomal RNA", at positions 154 to 617 of the family's 2925-position model. Lineage: Eukaryota; Cryptophyceae; Cryptomonadales; Hemiselmidaceae. The record is from RNAcentral.
UUGACUGAAUACAUAGGUCUUCAAGAGCAAACCCGGGGAACUGAAACAUCUAAGUACCCGGAGGAAAGGACAGCAAUAGCUACUCCCCUAGUAGUGGCGAGCGAACGGGGACCAGCCGAGCCUUGAGAGUGACUGGAACAGUCUGGAAAGACUGGCCAUAGCGGGUGACAGCCCCGUACAGGAAGCUCGAUAGGACGUAUUAAGUAGGGCGGGACACGUGAAAUCCUGUCUGAAGAUCGGAGGACCACCUUCGAAGGCUAAGUACUCCUUACUGACCGAUAGUGAACCAGUACCGUGAGGGAAAGGUGAAAAGCACCCCGACUAGGGGAGUGAAACAGUACCUGAAACCGAACGCCUACAAUCAGUCGGAGCCCCCUUGCGGGGUGACGGCGUACCUUUUGUAUAAUG